Molecule: non-coding RNA, 1227 nt
Organism: Mus caroli (Ryukyu mouse)
Lineage: Eukaryota; Metazoa; Chordata; Mammalia; Rodentia; Muridae
Source: RefSeq, a predicted model, not a curated record
AAACAUGGGCCUAAGGCUUCCUUUGCUCCUGAAGUGCAAAGCCCUAGAAGAAGUUCUUCCUUUCCUUUCUUCUUCACCGCCUGUUUGUCAGCUGUCCAUACUGUCUCCUAGCAACACCAGAAGAUCCCCUCUUUUCCCCAGCACCAAGCCUGGACAUUGCAGUUGUCACCCACUGUUUCUCUGAAAGCAACAGUUCUCAGCCUGUGGGUAGAACCCUUCUGGGGGUCAAAUGACCUUUUCACANNGAUCUUAUAUCUGAUAUUCACAUUACAAUUGAUAACAGUUAUCAAAAUUACAGUUAUGAAGUAGCAAUGGCCUAUUUUGUGGUUGGGGGUCACCUCCGCAGGAGAAACUGUGUUAAAGGAUCACAGCUUUAGGAAGGAUGAGCACCACUGUUUUAAAGCAUUAAGUCAGGUCCACCUCACCUGCGCUCCAGCUUUUCCCUUGGACUAUGUCGACUCAGGAGUCCCCAUGGGGCCUGGUGGACAUCACAGUCUGGAUCAUUUUCUUCACAAAACUCACUGUCCCUUGGAAAGCUUGUUGGUUUGAUUCACAGGGAAUUGGCCAGUUAGUUAUGUCUGCCUUCAAAUCAUCAGAGAGACACUAGAUGAAUGGUUCUCAACCUACCUGAAGGGUUGUGACCCACCANAGGCUGAGAAUCACUGCUCUAGAGUCUAGAACUUAGCCACACUGUCUAGUACAGGAGUACACAAAGAGAGCCUUUAAGACACGUGCAGACAAAUGAGUCUUCCUAUUAGACAGGAGCCACUCGUUCAACAACAGUCACACUGAGAAUUUUCCGAAGAUCCACAGUCAGUCAACAGAACCUUUUGACAGUGUCUCCUCAGAUGACAUUGAGCAGAGUAAAUCUAAUUUAUGAUAUCGGCNGGUAAGGUUUGUUAGCAUGCACUGUGUGGAGGAAUGUUAGAAACAAAAAGGCCUUGAAGAUAGAAACCUACAUCUAGAAUUCCAGCUGCCUGACCUAGAUAAGAUGACGUUUGACCCAGAAAUCUUCUUCAACGUUUUGCUGCCUCCCAUCAUAUUUCAUGCAGGAUACAGUCUGAAGAAGAGACACUUUUUUCAAAACUUGGGAUCCAUUUUAACGUAUGCCUUCUUGGGAACAGCCAUCUCCUGUGUGGUCAUAGGGUAAGUGACAUUCGGAACCUGGGCUACAGGUGGCUGGAGCGCAGCAAUCUGAGAUGGGAUCUCAGACUUCUUGAUGCUUAC